Molecule: ribosomal RNA, 506 nt
Filed under: uncultured bacterium
Lineage: Bacteria
Description: partial 16S ribosomal RNA
Rfam family: Bacterial small subunit ribosomal RNA
Source: RNAcentral
AGUGAACGCUGGCGGUAGGCCUAACACAUGCAAGUCGAACGGCAGCACAGGAGAGCUUGCUCUCUGGGUGGCGAGUGGCGGACGGGUGAGGAAUACAUCGGAAUCUACUCUGUCGUGGGGGAUAACGUAGGGAAACUUACGCUAAUACCGCAUACGACCUACGGGUGAAAGCAGGGGACCUUCGGGCCUUGCGCGAUUGAAUGAGCCGAUGUCGGAUUAGCUAGUUGGCGGGGUGAAGGCCCACCAAGGCGACGAUCCGUAGCUGGUCUGAGAGGAUGAUCAGCCACACUGGAACUGGGACACGGUCCAGACCCCUACGGGAGGCAGCAGUGGGGAAUAUUGGACAAUGGGCGCAAGCCUGAUCCAGCAAUACCGCGUGGGUAAAGAAGGCCUUCGGGUUGUAAAGCCCUUUUGUUGGGAAAGAAAUCCAGCUGGCUAAUACCCGGUUGGGAUGACGGUACCCAAAGAAUAAGCACCGGCUAACUUCGUGCCAGCAGCCGCAGUAA